RNAcentral lists this ribosomal RNA (1220 nucleotides) under Lactobacillus sp. CR-609S. RNAcentral's name for it is "bacterial SSU rRNA". It matches the Rfam family "Bacterial small subunit ribosomal RNA", at positions 117 to 1317 of the family's 1533-position model. The record is from RNAcentral. Lineage: Bacteria; Bacillati; Bacillota; Bacilli; Lactobacillales; Lactobacillaceae.
UUUGGUAAACCUUACCCUUAAGUGGGGGAUAACAUUUGGAAAACAGAUGCUAAUACCGCAUAAAUCCAAAGAACCCGCAUGGUUCUUGGCUGAAAAGAUUGGCGUAAAGUAUCGCUUUUGGAUGGACCCGCGGCGUAUUAGCUAGUUGGUGAGGUAACGGCUCACCAAGGCAAUGAUACGUAGCCGAACUGAGAGGUUGAUCGCCCACAUUGGGACUGAGACACGGCCCAAACUCUACGGGAGGCAGCAGUAGGGAAUCUUCCACAAUGGACGCAAGUCUGAUGGAGCAACGCCGCGUGAGUGAAGAAGGCUUUCGGGUCGUAAAACUCUGUUGUUGGAGAAGAAUGGUCGGCAGAGUAACUGUUGUCGGCGUGACGGGUAUCCAACCAGAAAGCCACGGCUAACUACGUGCCAGCAGCCGCGGUAAUACGUAGGUGGCAAGCGUUAUCCGGAUUUAUUGGGCGUAAAGCGAGCGCAGGCGGUUUUUUAAGUCUGAUGUGAAAGCCCUCGGCUUAACCGAGGAAGUGCAUCGGAAACUGGGAAACUUGAGUGCAGAAGAGGACAGUGGAACUCCAUGUGUAGCGGUGAAAUGCGUAGAUAUAUGGAAGAACACCAGUGGCGAAGGCGGCUGUCUGGUCUGUAACUGACGCUGAGGCUCGAAAGCAUGGGUAGCGAACAGGAUUAGAUACCCUGGUAGUCCAUGCCGUAAACGAUGAAUGCUAGGUGUUGGAGGGUUUCCGCCCUUCAGUGCCGCAGCUAACGCAUUAAGCAUUCCGCCUGGGGAGUACGACCGCAAGGUUGAAACUCAAAGGAAUUGACGGGGGCCCGCACAAGCGGUGGAGCAUGUGGUUUAAUUCGAAGCAACGCGAAGAACCUUACCAGGUCUUGACAUCUUUUGAUCACCUGAGAGAUCAGGUUUCCCCUUCGGGGGCAAAAUGACAGGUGGUGCAUGGUUGUCGUCAGCUCGUGUCGUGAGAUGUUGGGUUAAGUCCCGCAACGAGCGCAACCCUUAUGACUAGUUGCCAGCAUUUAGUUGGGCACUCUAGUAAGACUGCCGGUGACAAACCGGAGGAAGGUGGGGAUGACGUCAAAUCAUCAUGCCCCUUAUGACCUGGGCUACACACGUGCUAAAAUGGAUGGUACAACGAGUUGCGAGACCGCGAGGUCAAGCUAAUCUCUUAAAGCCAUUCUCAGUUCGGACUGUAGGCUGCAACUCGCCU